ACCGGGAUUGCCUCAGUAACGGCGAGUGAAGCGGCAAGAGCUCAAAUUUGAAAUCUGGCCCCUUUGGGGUCCGAGUUGUAAUUUGCAGAGGAUGCUUCGGGUGCGGUCCCCGUCUAAGUGCCCUGGAACGGGCCGUCAUAGAGGGUGAGAAUCCCGUCUGGGAUGGGCGGCCGCGCCCGUGUGAAGCUCCUUCGACGAGUCGAGUUGUUUGGGAAUGCAGCUCUAAGCGGGUGGUAAAUUUCAUCUAAAGCUAAAUACUGGCCGGAGACCGAUAGCGCACAAGUAGAGUGAUCGAAAGAUGAAAAGCACUUUGAAAAGAGAGUUAAACAGCACGUGAAAUUGUUGAAAGGGAAAGCGUUGUCCACCACGACUCGCCCGGGGGGGGUUCAGCCGGCACGUGUGCCGGUGUACUCCUCUCCGGGCGGGCCAGCAUCGGUUUGGGCGGUUGGUGAAAGGCCCCGGGAAAUGUAACACCCUUCGGGGUGCCUUAUAGCCCGGGGUGCCAUACAGCCAGCCUGGACCGAGGCCCGCGCUUCGGCGAGGAUGCUGGCGUAAUGGUGGUCAACGGCCCGUCUUGAUACACGGACCAAGGAGUCUAACAUCUAUGCGAGUGUUCGGGUGUCAAACCCGUCCGUCGCAGUGAAAGCGAACGGAGGUGGGAGCCUUUCGGGGUCGCACCAUCGACCGAUCCUGAUGUCUUCGGAUGGAUUUGAGUAAGAGCAUAGCUGUUGGGACCCGAAAGAUGGUGAACUAUGCCUGAAUAGGGCGAAGCCAGAGGAAACUCUGGUGGAGGUCUCGCAGCGGUUCUGACGUGCAAAUCGAUCGUCAAAUU
This 832-nucleotide ribosomal RNA is filed under the name Talaromyces verruculosus. RNAcentral's name for it is "eukaryotic LSU rRNA". It matches the Rfam family "Eukaryotic large subunit ribosomal RNA", at positions 68 to 911 of the family's 3401-position model. Lineage: Eukaryota; Fungi; Ascomycota; Eurotiomycetes; Eurotiales; Trichocomaceae. The record is from RNAcentral.